CCCAGACUCCUACGGGAGGCUGCAGUCGAGAAUCUUUCGCAAUGGGGGAAACCCUGACGAAGCGACGCCGCGUGGAGGAUGAAUGCCCUCGGGUUGUAAACUCCUGUCACUUGGGAUGAAAAGUGGGGCCAUUAAUACCGGUUCUGCCUGACAGUACCUUGAAAGGAAGCUCCGGCUAACUACGUGCCAGCAGCCGCGGUAAUACGUAGGGAGCAAGCGUUGUUCGGAUUUACUGGGCGUAAAGGGUGUGUAUGUUGCUUGGUAAGUCAGUUGUGAAAUCCUUAACUGCUCAACAGAAGAAUUGCAAUCGAUACUACCAGGCUAGAGUUCGGUAGAGGAGAGCGGAAUUCCCGGUGUAAGCGGUGAAAUGCGUAGAUAUCGAGAAGAACACCAGUGGCGUAGGCGGCUCUCUAGCCCGAUACUGACACUGAAACACGAAAGCGUGGGUAGCGAACGGGAUUAGAUACCCCGGUAGUCCACGCCGUAAACGAUGGGUACUAGGUGCAGGUGGUAUCGAUCCCUUCUGUGCCGAAGCAAACGCGUUAAGUACCCCGCCUGGGGAGUACGGCCGCAAGGCUAAAACUCAAAGGAAUAGACGGGGGCCCGCACAAGCGGUGGAGCAUGUGGUUUAAUACGACGCAACGCGUAGAACCUUACCAGGGCUUGACAUGCUGGUGGUACUGGCUCCGAAAGGAGACAGGACCCUUCGGGGAGCCAACACAGAUGUUGCACGGCUGUCGUCAGCUCGUGUCGUGAGAUGUUGGGUUAAGUCCCGCAACGAGCGCAACCCUUGUCCUUAGUUGCCAGCAGGUAAUGCUGGGGACUCUAAGGAGACUGCCUGUGAUAAGCAGGAGGAAGGUGAGGAUGACGUCAAGUCAUUGUGGCUCUUACGCCCUGGGCUACACACGUGCUACAAUGGUCGAUACAAUGGGUAGCAAUGCCGCGAGGUGGAGCCAAUCCCCAAAAGUCGGCCUCAGUUCGGAUUGGAGUCUGCAACUCGACUCCAUGAAGUCGGAAUCGCUAGUAAUGGCGCAUCAGCUACGGCGCCGUGAAUACGUUCCCGGGCCUUGUACUCACCGCCCGUCACAUCACCUGAGUUGAUUGCACCUGAAGUCACUGGUCUAACCUUCGGGAGGAAAGUGCCGAAGGUGUGAUUGGUAAGGGGGAUGAAGUCG
Molecule: ribosomal RNA, 1175 nt
Filed under: uncultured organism
Description: bacterial SSU rRNA
Rfam family: Bacterial small subunit ribosomal RNA
Source: RNAcentral